UCAGUUCGGAUUGUAGGCUGAAACUCGCCUACAUGAAGCUGGAGUUGCUAGUAAUCGCGAAUCAGCAUGUCGCGGUGAAUACGUUCCCGGGUCUUGUACACACCGCCCGUCACACCAUGGGAGUUGGUAACGCCCGAAGCCAGUGACCCAACCUUAAGAGGAGGGAGCUGUCGAAGGUGGGACCGAUAACUGGGGUGAAGUCGUAACAAGGUAAC
This 215-nucleotide ribosomal RNA is filed under the name uncultured bacterium. Its description in RNAcentral is "partial 16S ribosomal RNA". It matches the Rfam family "Bacterial small subunit ribosomal RNA", at positions 1288 to 1500 of the family's 1533-position model. The record is from RNAcentral.